RNAcentral lists this ribosomal RNA (794 nucleotides) under uncultured bacterium. RNAcentral's name for it is "bacterial SSU rRNA". It matches the Rfam family "Bacterial small subunit ribosomal RNA", at positions 39 to 817 of the family's 1533-position model. The record is from RNAcentral.
GCGUUGGCCCAAUUGAUUGAUGGUGCUUGCACCUGAUUGAUUUUGGCUGUUCAACGAGUGGCGGACGGGUGAGUAACACGUAGGUAACCUGCCCAGAAGCGGGGGACAACAUUUGGAAACAGAUGCUAAUACCGCAUAACAGCGUUGUUCGCAUGAACAACGCUUAAAAGAUGGCUUCUCGCUAUCACUUCUGGAUGGACCUGCGGUGCAUUAGCUUGUUGGUGGGGUAACGGCCUACCAAGGCGAUGAUGCAUAGCCGAGUUGAGAGACUGAUCGGCCACAAUGGGACUGAGACACGGCCCAUACUCCUACGGGAGGCAGCAGUAGGGAAUCUUCCACAAUGGGCGCAAGCCUGAUGGAGCAACACCGCGUGAGUGAAGAAGGGUUUCGGCUCGUAAAGCUCUGUUGUUAAAGAAGAACACGUAUGAGAGUAACUGUUCAUACGUUGACGGUAUUUAACCAGAAAGUCACGGCUAACUACGUGCCAGCAGCCGCGGUAAUACGUAGGUGGCAAGCGUUAUCCGGAUUUAUUGGGCGUAAAGAGAGUGCAGGCGGUUUUCUAAGUCUGAUGUGAAAGCCUUCGGCUUAACCGGAGAAGUGCAUCGGAAACUGGAUAACUUGAGUGCAGAAGAGGGUAGUGGAACUCCAUGUGUAGCGGUGGAAUGCGUAGAUAUAUGGAAGAACACCAGUGGCGAAGGCGGCUACCUGGUCUGCAACUGACGCUGAGACUCGAAAGCAUGGGUAGCGAACAGGAUUAGAUACCCUGGUAGUCCAUGCCGUAAACGAUGAGUGCU